Molecule: unclassified non-coding RNA, 324 nt
Filed under: soil metagenome
Description: partial contains 5.8S ribosomal RNA, internal transcribed spacer 2, and large subunit ribosomal RNA
Rfam family: 5.8S ribosomal RNA (bases 1-120)
Source: RNAcentral
GAUGAAGAACGUAGCGAAAUGCGAUAAGUAAUGUGAAUUGCAGAAUUCAGUGAAUCAUCGAAUCUUUGAACGCACAUUGCGCUCCCUGGUAUUCCGCAGGGCAUGCCUGUUCGAGCGUCAUUUCAACCCUCAAGCCCCGCUUGGUGUUGGGCCCCGCCCGCUGUGGCCGGCCCUAAAGACAGUGGCGGCGCCGCCUGGCCCUCAGCGUAGUACAUCUCUCGCUCCAGGGUCCGGUGGCCGCCUGCCAGAACCCCCCAACUCUGUGGUUGACCUCGGAUCAGGUAGGGAUACCCGCUGAACUUAAGCAUAUCAAUAAGCGGAGGA